RNAcentral lists this long non-coding RNA (463 nucleotides) under Lathyrus oleraceus (garden pea). RNAcentral describes it as "Pisum sativum (pea) long non-coding RNA (PSAT_LNC008878)". Lineage: Eukaryota; Viridiplantae; Streptophyta; Magnoliopsida; Fabales; Fabaceae. The record is from RNAcentral.
CUGAUGAUGUUCAAGCAUAUGUGAAAGAAAAUUGUUUUGGAAUACCGGCAAUUACAAGCUCUCAUUCUGAUUGGAGUUUUUACUCGCGUGUUCGUUCAACUUUGCGUUAAUGAAGAUUAAGAAAAUUUAGUGCUUUGGAUUAUGUUUGUGUGGUAAAUUAUGAUUUGGAAUACCGGCAAUUACAAGCUCUCAUUCUGAUUGGAGUUUUUACUCGCGUGUUCGUUCAACUUUGCGUUAAUGAAGAUUAAGAAAAUUUAGUGCUUUGGAUUAUGUUUGUGUGGUAAAUUAUGGUUUUGUUAAAGGCUUAAUCGUUUUAUGUAUGACGGUUUGGAACUUUGGAUUAAGUUUCUUUUAAUUUUAUGAAUGGUUGUUUUUGGUGUUUCAUCUAUGUAUGUAUGGCCGUUAUGAUUAAUCGUAUAUUUUACUCUACUUUGCAAUUUUUAAGACAUGCCUUUUAUCGAUA